RNAcentral lists this long non-coding RNA (1316 nucleotides) under Coturnix japonica (Japanese quail). RNAcentral describes it as "lncRNA (ENSCJPG00005016345.1)". Lineage: Eukaryota; Metazoa; Chordata; Aves; Galliformes; Phasianidae. The record is from RNAcentral.
GAGAAAGGUAUGCUAAUUAACAAUUAAUUCUUUUAUCUCAUAGUGCCAAGACUGUAAGACCUGAAAAAGAUGUAGAAUAAAAUUAGUGGUAAUUAGCUUUUUAGAGCAUUAAACAAACAGUGACAUGAACGAUGGAGAAUUAAUGUUAUGCAUUUAUUUUUAACAAUAUUUAUACAGGCAGUUUUUGAACAAGGCCCCGUGGCAUUCGCUUUUACUAAUACAGGCAAAACAGCAAUGAGAAAUAAUUACAUUUAGUCUGCAUUAAGACAGCACUAUGCAAAUCAAAGGAAUAAUGAAGAGAAGCCUGUUAAUAAGGUUUUUGGAGACUUUACACUUGAAUGUAAUAUUUGGGCUUCAUAUUCCUCUGUGGGAUCCAGGAAUUAUUACCCUUCAGCAUUUCAGACUCCAGGCAUGAGGCUCUCAAUAGCACUGGGGUGAAUCAGGGCGGCCCACUGGCUGGGGCUGCACUUCUGCUUCUGGGUCACUUCUUUAGCAAGCAGUGAGCAGGAAAGGGGGCUCAACCAUGAGCAGGAAAGGGAGCUCAGCUGUGUCCAUGCCACUCUGCACCCCAACCACAACCUGGCCAAGCUGGGCAUUGGGCUGCUCGUUUUGCCCAUAUAGAUUGUGCUAUAAGGUAAUGGUCAACAUUGCAAUGCCUGGCAGUAGUUUCUAUAGGUAGUUGCACCUUCUAGAGCAUUUAACUCCUUGAUGCAUCCACUGGCCUAUGUGUUGUUAGUAAUGAAAAGCACUGGGUCCAGAUACCAAUACUCUACUCUGCCUCUUUCAGUAAUCCAUCGAUAGCAGGAACCAGAAGUCUGCGUUCUCUCACUUCUCCUUGCAAGCAGUGAAAUCAAGAGUUUAAAAUAAAGAUAAGUUUAUUGGGAUCAGAAAGUGGUUAAACAAAUCAGAGUGACUGCAUAUAUAUGUUGACAGUUCUCAUCAAGUCACGCCUCCACUCUUCCUGGAAGUGGAGUAUUAUUCCCCAGUGGACAGCCUGGAAGCUGAUGAUAUUCCCUUUGCAGAGUGAUUGCAAGAGCCGUAAAUUGAAACUAAAGGGGAGAUUGAAAAGCAGCAGCUUGUACCACAUAACCAGUGACCUUCCUGAAGAACUUUAAUGCCUGAAACAGCCAAAAAUUUGUUUUGAAUCAAUUCAAUAUCACCUCUGCACUCAGCAAUCUCUACCUCUGAAAAAGGCUAUGAAGAGCAACGUGGUUGGCUAAGGCAGCCUGGCAGCAUUUUGCUUACAGCGGUGUAGAUGGCACUUCUCCUUAAUGGGAUUGAAUAAAAGCUUCCAAUGUAUUAUCCUUUCUGUGGGG